ACAACUUUCAACGGAUCUCUUGGCUCUCGGAUCGAUG
RNAcentral lists this ribosomal RNA (37 nucleotides) under uncultured fungus. Its description in RNAcentral is "partial 5.8S ribosomal RNA". The record is from RNAcentral. Lineage: Eukaryota; Fungi.